RNAcentral lists this long non-coding RNA (1345 nucleotides) under Mus musculus (house mouse). RNAcentral's name for it is "long non-coding RNA chr11:4047920-4049265". Lineage: Eukaryota; Metazoa; Chordata; Mammalia; Rodentia; Muridae. The record is from RNAcentral.
UUAGAGUCUGCAUUGGGGGUUAAAUGCCAAGAGGCAGUGCCAGGAGAAAUUCUUGCCUAAGAUCAGCUUAAGCAGAUUGUCAAGAGGAAAAAAAAAAAAAAAAAAAAAAAAAAAAACAAGCUUUUUUCUGGAUCCAAAGAGACAGCCUAGGGCUGUUAGGCAAGAGUCAUGAGGCAUUUUCCAAGGCCAGCGUUGCUCCUGCACUCACAGUGUGGAUGCAUAGAACCCCUCUUAUUUUUCCGAAGCAACCCAGCUUUUUGGGGUCACUUCUCCACAUCUUUUGACAGGCUGAAAGUGUCACUAACUGUGAUUAGAAAAACUUCAACUUCAUUCAUCUCUCUUCUAGUCUUGAUGAGCUCUCAGAAUGACUCACGUCAUUAAAAGGCCCCUAGACUUUAAUCCUGAUCCUUGCCCUUCUAAGCACCAACAGCCAAUUUUCCCCACCAGUACAGACUCACUAGUAUUUCUAGACACACAUGCCCUAUGCACAAUGACAGCUGAUUUGCCCAUCACAGAGAGAGACAGACAGACAGACACCUGUUGCUGGGAGCACGGGGGUGGGCAGCAGGCAUGAGAAGCGAGCUGCAGGUACCAGCAACUCUGGCUCCCAGAGCUGGCACACCAUACCUCAUGGCUAAACAAGGAGCACAGAGGUCACCUGAGGAGGUGAGGCAGAACCUUCCUGAGAGCCCAGGAAGCCUUGUGGGAUUAAACCCUCACUCAGCAAACCCUCGCUCCUGCAGCCUUGUCUAAUCCUCUUGACAUUGCAACACAAUGCUGUCUUCUGCAAAGUUCACGACUGAGAAUCAUGCCAACUGAGUUACAAAGCAAACCAAAAGCCCACAGAAAACACCUGCAGAACGUUUCACACAACUUUACGGUUUGGUGUGUGGCCAGGUUCAUAUUAACUCUGGGCCUCCCGUGGCUUGUAGGGUCAGAGUGGACACCCGAUGGAGUGUCACUUUUGACUUCUUUCCUCCCUUUCCCCCUCCUCCUUCUCCUUCUCCUGUUUUUCCUUUCCCUCUCUCCUGUUGGGAGCCGCGCCCACAUUCGCCGUUACAAGAUGGCGCUGACAGCUGUGUUCUAAGUGGUAAACAAAUAAUCUGCGCAUGUGCCAAGGGUAUCUUAUGACUACUUGUGCUCUGCCUUCCCCGUGACGUCAACUCGGCCGAUGGGCUGCAGCCAAUCAGGGAGUGACACGUCCGAGGCGAAGGAGAAUUCUCCUUAAAAAGGGACGGGGUUUCGUUUUCUCUCUCUCUUGCUUUUCUCUCUCUCUUGCUUCUCGCUCGCUCUUGCUUCUUACACUCUGGCUCCUGAAGAUGUAAGCAAUAAAGCCUUGCCGCAG